UGGUGGCUGUCAUGGCGGCAAUGAAGGUAUGUACCGCCAAUCCUAGUAUGAUGGCAAUGGAGAAAUAAAAAACAAUGAUGAAGGAAGAAGUUAAGUAUUCGGAGAAAAAACGAGGAAGAAGAUUGAUGAAUGGCGGCGGUGAACUAGUGUGAUUGAGGAAGUGAUCGGCAAAGAGGGGAGGAAGAAGAAAGAACAUUUUUUCCACAAAAAAAUGCCUAACUAAAGACCUCCCACGCGCCUAUUUUGGGUGAAUCACAAACAAUGUGCCAUGUAGGCAAAAAAUGUUCAGAUG
Molecule: long non-coding RNA, 292 nt
Filed under: Solanum tuberosum (potato)
Lineage: Eukaryota; Viridiplantae; Streptophyta; Magnoliopsida; Solanales; Solanaceae
Description: long non-coding RNA (STUB_LNC000572)
Source: RNAcentral